This 709-nucleotide ribosomal RNA is filed under the name Leifsonia sp. L1907. RNAcentral's name for it is "bacterial SSU rRNA". It matches the Rfam family "Bacterial small subunit ribosomal RNA", at positions 24 to 744 of the family's 1533-position model. The record is from RNAcentral. Lineage: Bacteria; Bacillati; Actinomycetota; Actinomycetes; Micrococcales; Microbacteriaceae.
UCAGGACGAACGCUGGCGGCGUGCUUAACACAUGCAAGUCGAACGAUGAACCUGGAGCUUGCUCUAGGGAAUUAGUGGCGAACGGGUGAGUAACACGUGAGUAACCUGCCCUUGACUCUGGGAUAACCUCCGGAAACGGAAGCUAAUACCGGAUAUGACGCACGGAGGCAUCUCCUGUGCGUGGAAAGAACUUCGGUCAAGGAUGGACUCGCGGCCUAUCAGGUAGUUGGUGAGGUAACGGCUCACCAAGCCUACGACGGGUAGCCGGCCUGAGAGGGUGACCGGCCACACUGGGACUGAGACACGGCCCAGACUCCUACGGGAGGCAGCAGUGGGGAAUAUUGCACAAUGGGCGCAAGCCUGAUGCAGCAACGCCGCGUGAGGGAUGACGGCCUUCGGGUUGUAAACCUCUUUUAGUAGGGAAGAAGCGAAAGUGACGGUACCUGCAGAAAAAGCACCGGCUAACUACGUGCCAGCAGCCGCGGUAAUACGUAGGGUGCGAGCGUUGUCCGGAAUUAUUGGGCGUAAAGAGCUCGUAGGCGGUCUGUCGCGUCUGCUGUGAAAACCCGAGGCUCAACCUCGGGCCUGCAGUGGGUACGGGCAGACUAGAGUGCGGUAGGGGAGAAUGGAAUUCCUGGUGUAGCGGUGGAAUGCGCAGAUAUCAGGAGGAACACCGAUGGCGAAGGCAGUUCUCUGGGCCGUAACUGAC